RNAcentral lists this long non-coding RNA (666 nucleotides) under Malus domestica (apple). RNAcentral describes it as "long non-coding RNA (MDOM_LNC007651)". The record is from RNAcentral. Lineage: Eukaryota; Viridiplantae; Streptophyta; Magnoliopsida; Rosales; Rosaceae.
GCAUCCCCUCCCUUAUUGGGUAAUGGUGGGGGCCUAUAAGGAGGAGGCUUGUCUGCCUUGGUAGCCUCGCCUUUUCCACUAGAUUCUCCGAUCAACUGGGGCAUCCUAUACUUCCUUCUUUCUUGCCCGUUAUGUGUCACAACCCGUCCCGAGAUUUUAAUCAUCGAGGACGUGAAAAGACGAAUUUACCCUUAGCAGGUAUUAAGGUACGUGGGUGUGACGUUAUUUGGAUUAAUUUUUAAUUUUUAAUUUUAUAAGUUUGGAUUGGAUUUUGGAUUGUAUUUUGUGUGGGUAGGGAUUAAAUUUGGCAUGUAUGGUUGUGGUUGGACCACACACUCGCUCAAGACCUCCCUCCUUCCCCCGUGCCUUCUCUCUCUCUUCUCCCUCACUACUCUCUCAGUUUCUCACUCUCUCCCUCUCAAAUUGUACGGACCUCACCACAAAACCCUGAAACUUCACGGAUCGAAGGUGCCAAGGGCACCAUUGUGCUCGUGAAGACUCUACGAACUCAAAGACACCAUUUUCAGGUAAGGAAUCCUUCGUUUUCACGUUGAAAACUCGAGGUCCGAGUUUGGCACUAUUCAUGAACUUUUUGUUGGUUGAUUUUUAGGACAAUCCAAGCUCAUAGUGAGCUUAGUGAGGUCCUCGGAGUGCUUCGUUGGAAGG